RNAcentral lists this small nuclear RNA (107 nucleotides) under Jaculus jaculus (lesser Egyptian jerboa). Lineage: Eukaryota; Metazoa; Chordata; Mammalia; Rodentia; Dipodidae. The record is from RNAcentral.
GUGCUUGCUUCAGCAGCACAUAUACUAAAAUUGGAAAGAUACAGAGAAGAUUAGCAUGGCUCCUGCGCAAGGAUGAUACCCAAAUUCGUGAAGCAUUCCAUAUUUUA